ACAAAUUUCCCCCAAAAGUUUCUCUACAAGUUUUGAGAUCUGAGAUUUGAAUUUGAAAAUUAAAAACAGAAGAUACAAAUCUGAAAGAGAGAGAUCGUUCUAGUCCUCAGAAAUCCUUAAAAAACCCAAAAAUAUAGCUGAAAAUCCACACAAAAAAAUACAGUUUUAUUGAAAUUUUCUAGGCCAAUCUAAAAAAUUCUAGAUGUUAAUUCAAUCCUUGGCUCAGAUAGAAUAAAAAUGGCUUGAAGAUCCUGGUAUUUGGUUGUUGAAUUUGCAGGAGUGGUCCUGGGUUUAAUUUCAAGUUUGUUGGGUUCUAUCGAGUCUAUUUUGGGUGUUUUGUUGGUGUUGUUUCUCCUUCAUUCAUUCCUGGGCUUUGUGAUGCUGUUCUGGAUUCAAAAUUGAUUCUGUGUUGUUGAUUUCACUGUUGAUUCCUGUUACUGUAUUGUUGUUGAACCUGCUGGUUCUACCUUCUUCUUUCAUUUUUCCCUCAAUUCCAAGUAUUUCUCAAUCUCAAGAGGUGUAUUAUAGUUGGGACUGCAGAUUCAAGGAAUGGAUAAUGAAUUGCUGGUUAUUUCAGUACCUAAAGAUCUCAUUUCUUUGCUUAGUUUAAUGUUCUGUCUUUGUAUAAUUGAAACCCUUGUCUUUUGUAUGUAUUAGUAGAACUGGUGGAUUUAUUUGUAAACUGGACUGUUGAAUUAUAUUUUAUCUCAC
RNAcentral lists this long non-coding RNA (711 nucleotides) under Nicotiana benthamiana. RNAcentral's name for it is "long non-coding RNA (NBEN_LNC005657)". The record is from RNAcentral. Lineage: Eukaryota; Viridiplantae; Streptophyta; Magnoliopsida; Solanales; Solanaceae.